GGGUUGUGAGGUUAAGCGACUAAGCGUACACGGUGGAUGCCCUGGCAGUCAGAGGCGAUGAAGGACGUGCUAAUCUGCGAUAAGCGCCGGUAAGGUGAUAUGAACCGUUAUAACCGGCGAUUUCCGAAUGGGGAAACCCAGUGUGAUUCGUCACACUAUCAUUAACUGAAUCCAUAGGUUAAUGAGGCGAACCGGGGGAACUGAAACAUCUAAGUACCCCGAGGAAAAGAAAUCAACCGAGAUUCCCCCAGUAGCGGCGAGCGAACGGGGAGGAGCCCAGAGCCUGAAUCAGCAUGUGUGUUAGUGGAAGCGUCUGGAAAGGCGCGCGAUACAGGGUGACAGCCCCGUACACAAAAGCGCAUGUGCUGUGAGCUCGAUGAGUAGGGCGGGACACGUGGUAUCCUGUCUGAAUAUGGGGGGACCAUCCUCCAAGGCUAAAUACUCCUGACUGACCGAUAGUGAACCAGUACCGUGAGGGAAAGGCGAAAAGAACCCCGGCGAGGGGAGUGAAAAAGAACCUGAAACCGUGUACGUACAAGCAGUGGGAGCACCCUUCGGGGUGUGAUGCGUACCUUUUGUAUAAUGGGUCAGCGACUUAUAUUCUGUAGCAAGGUUAACCGUAUAGGGGAGCCGGAGGGAAACCGAGUCUUAACCGGGCGUUAAGUUGCAGGGUAUAGACCCGAAACCCGGUGAUCUAGCCAUGGGCAGGUUGAAGGUUGGGUAACACUAACUGGAGGACCGAACCGACUAAUGUUGAAAAAUUAGCGGAUGACCUGUGGCUGGGGGUGAAAGGCCAAUCAAACCGGGAGAUAGCUGGUUCUCCCCGAAAGCUAUUUAGGUAGCGCCUCGUGAAUUCAUCUCCGGGGGUAGAGCACUGUUUCGGCUAGGGGGCCAUCCCGGCUUACCAACCCGAUGCAAACUGCGAAUACCGGAGAAUGUUAUCACGGGAGACACACGGCGGGUGCUAACGUCCGUCGUGAAGAGGGAAACAACCCAGACCGCCAGCUAAGGUCCCAAAGUCAUGGUUAAGUGGGAAACGAUGUGGGAAGGCCCAGACAGCCAGGAUGUUGGCUUAGAAGCAGCCAUCAUUUAAAGAAAGCGUAAUAGCUCACUGGUCGAGUCGGCCUGCGCGGAAGAUGUAACGGGGCUAAACCAUGCACCGAAGCUGCGGCAGCGACGCUGAUGCGUUGUUGGGUAGGGGAGCGUUCUGUAAGCCUGCGAAGGUGACCUGUGAGGGUUGCUGGAGGUAUCAGAAGUGCGAAUGCUGACAUAAGUAACGAUAAAGCGGGUGAAAAGCCCGCUCGCCGGAAGACCAAGGGUUCCUGUCCAACGUUAAUCGGGGCAGGGUGAGUCGACCCCUAAGGCGAGGCCGAAAGGCGUAGUCGAUGGGAAACGGGUUAAUAUUCCCGUACUUGGUGUUACUGCGAAGGGGGGACGGAGAAGGCUAUGUUGGCCGGGCGACGGUUGUCCCGGUUUAAGCGUGUAGGUGUGUGUUCCAGGUAAAUCCGGUUCACUUUAACACUGAGGCGUGAUGACGAGGCACUACGGUGCUGAAGCAACAAAUGCCCUGCUUCCAGGAAAAGCCUCUAAGCAUCAGGUAACAUCAAAUCGUACCCCAAACCGACACAGGUGGUCAGGUAGAGAAUACCAAGGCGCUUGAGAGAACUCGGGUGAAGGAACUAGGCAAAAUGGUGCCGUAACUUCGGGAGAAGGCACGCUGACACGUAGGUGAAGUGAUUUACUCACGGAGCUGAAGUCAGUCGAAGAUACCAGCUGGCUGCAACUGUUUAUUAAAAACACAGCACUGUGCAAACACGAAAGUGGACGUAUACGGUGUGACGCCUGCCCGGUGCCGGAAGGUUAAUUGAUGGGGUCAGCGCAAGCGAAGCUCCUGAUCGAAGCCCCGGUAAACGGCGGCCGUAACUAUAACGGUCCUAAGGUAGCGAAAUUCCUUGUCGGGUAAGUUCCGACCUGCACGAAUGGCGUAAUGAUGGCCAGGCUGUCUCCACCCGAGACUCAGUGAAAUUGAACUCGCUGUGAAGAUGCAGUGUACCCGCGGCAAGACGGAAAGACCCCGUGAACCUUUACUAUAGCUUGACACUGAACAUUGAGCCUUGAUGUGUAGGAUAGGUGGGAGGCUUUGAAGUGUGGACGCCAGUCUGCAUGGAGCCGACCUUGAAAUACCACCCUUUAAUGUUUGAUGUUCUAACGUGGACCCGUAAUCCGGGUUGCGGACAGUGUCUGGUGGGUAGUUUGACUGGGGCGGUCUCCUCCUAAAGAGUAACGGAGGAGCACGAAGGUUGGCUAAUCCUGGUCGGACAUCAGGAGGUUAGUGCAAUGGCAUAAGCCAGCUUGACUGCGAGCGUGACGGCGCGAGCAGGUGCGAAAGCAGGUCAUAGUGAUCCGGUGGUUCUGAAUGGAAGGGCCAUCGCUCAACGGAUAAAAGGUACUCCGGGGAUAACAGGCUGAUACCGCCCAAGAGUUCAUAUCGACGGCGGUGUUUGGCACCUCGAUGUCGGCUCAUCACAUCCUGGGGCUGAAGUAGGUCCCAAGGGUAUGGCUGUUCGCCAUUUAAAGUGGUACGCGAGCUGGGUUUAGAACGUCGUGAGACAGUUCGGUCCCUAUCUGCCGUGGGCGCUGGAGAACUGAGGGGGGCUGCUCCUAGUACGAGAGGACCGGAGUGGACGCAUCACUGGUGUUCGGGUUGUCAUGCCAAUGGCACUGCCCGGUAGCUAAAUGCGGAAGAGAUAAGUGCUGAAAGCAUCUAAGCACGAAACUUGCCCCGAGAUGAGUUCUCCCUGAGACUUAGAGUCUCCUGAAGGAACGUUGAAGACGACGACGUUGAUAGGCCGGGUGUGUAAGCGCAGCGAUGCGUUGAGCUAACCGGUACUAAUGAACCGUGAGGCUUAACCUUACAACGCCGAAG
This 2926-nucleotide ribosomal RNA is filed under the name Salmonella enterica subsp. enterica serovar Typhimurium. RNAcentral describes it as "bacterial LSU rRNA". It matches the Rfam family "Bacterial large subunit ribosomal RNA". The record is from RNAcentral. Lineage: Bacteria; Pseudomonadati; Pseudomonadota; Gammaproteobacteria; Enterobacterales; Enterobacteriaceae.